RNAcentral lists this transfer RNA (60 nucleotides) under Proasellus solanasi. RNAcentral describes it as "transfert RNA-E(GAA)". Lineage: Eukaryota; Metazoa; Arthropoda; Malacostraca; Isopoda; Asellidae. The record is from RNAcentral.
ACUUUAAAGGUGUUUAACAUAUUAUAAUUUCAUUAUAAAGUAGACGUCGGUCUUAAGGUA